GUGCAGCAGGCGCGAAAACUUUGCAAUACACGAAAGUGUGACAGGGUCAUCCCGAGUGUCGACCGCUGAGGUUGGCUUUUACCCAGUCUAGAAAGCUGGGGGAAUAAGGAGAGGGCAAGUCUGGUGUCAGCCGCCGCGGUAAUACCAGCUCUCCGAGUGGUGUGGACGUUUAUUGGGCCUAAAGCAUCCGUAGCUGGCUGAACAAGUCCCCUGUUAAACCCACCGAUUUAAUCGUUGGUCUGCGGGGGAUACUGCUCGGCUAGGGGACGAGAGAGGCAGGCGGUAUUCUCGGGGUAGGGGUGAAAUCCUAUAAUCCCGGGAAGACCACCAGUGGCGAAGGCUGCCUGCUAGAGCGCGCCCGACGGUGAGGGAUGAAAGCUGGGGGAGCGAACCGGAUUAGAUACCCGGGUAGUCCCAGCUGUAAACGAUGCAGACUAGGUGUUUGGACGGCCACGUGCCGUUCUAGUGCCGCAGGGAAGCUGUUAAGUCUGCCGCCUGGGGAGUACGAUCGCAAGAUUGAAACUUAAAGGAAUUGGCGGGGGAGCAC
This 547-nucleotide ribosomal RNA is filed under the name uncultured archaeon. RNAcentral describes it as "bacterial SSU rRNA". It matches the Rfam family "Archaeal small subunit ribosomal RNA", at positions 330 to 879 of the family's 1478-position model. The record is from RNAcentral.